RNAcentral lists this ribosomal RNA (528 nucleotides) under Triticum aestivum (bread wheat). Its description in RNAcentral is "partial small subunit ribosomal RNA". The record is from RNAcentral. Lineage: Eukaryota; Viridiplantae; Streptophyta; Magnoliopsida; Poales; Poaceae.
GGCGCGUCUUCCUCAUCCCCUACGUCAGAUCCUGCCCGUACUCCUCCCGGGUCCGUUUCUUCUGAGACGCCCAUCCCUAUCUCGAGCGACGCGUCCCCGCCGGUAGUUAUUCACCGGCCUCCCUCGCCGUCCAACACCCAUACUAUGGUCACCCGGGCUAAACGUGGUCUAUUCCAACCCACCGAUCGUCUCAACCUUUCCGCCUCCCACUCCACUCCCUCCCCAAUCCCUAAAACAUACCGGGGUGAACUCCAUGACCCCCACUGGCGUCGUGCUAUGACCGAGGAAUAUGAUGCUCUUGUCACUAACGGGACGUGGUCUCUUGUUCCACGUCCUCCUCGUGCUCAUGUUGUUUCAGGGAAGUGGAUUUUCAAGCAUAAAUUUCACUCGGACGGCAGCCUUGCCCGGUACAAGGCAAGAUGGGUGGUACGUGGCUACUCUCAACAACCAGGCAUUGACUUUGACGAGACAUUCAGUCCUGUUGUUAAGCCUGCCACCAUCCGCAUCGUCCUCAGCAUUGUCGUCUCG